AGCACUUGGUGUGUGUUUGCUCCACUGCUGGAGAAUGGCACAAAAGACAAGUGCCUUAGAGCAUAAACCCUUUGUUACCCAGAACUCAUGGUUCAGUGUGAGUUUUGAUACGUCCAAGAAGGAAC
RNAcentral lists this small nucleolar RNA (125 nucleotides) under Nannospalax galili (Upper Galilee mountains blind mole rat). Its description in RNAcentral is "Small nucleolar RNA SNORA40 (ENSNGAG00000007231.1)". It matches the Rfam family "Small nucleolar RNA SNORA40". Rfam says of the family: The snoRNA ACA 40 belongs to the H/ACA family of snoRNAs and guides the pseudouridylation of 28S rRNA subunit at position U4565. Lineage: Eukaryota; Metazoa; Chordata; Mammalia; Rodentia; Spalacidae. The record is from RNAcentral.